AGCAGCAGCCGCGGUAAUACGGAGGGUGCAAGCGUUAAUCGGAAUUACUGGGCGUAAAGCGCACGCAGGCGGUCUGACAAGUCAGAUGUGAAAUCCCCGGGCUUAACCUGGGAACUGCAUUUGAAACUGUCAGGCUGGAGUCUUGUAGAGGGGGGUGGAAUUCCAGGUGUAGCGGUGAAAUGCGUAGAGAUCUGGAGGAAUACCGGUGGCGAAGGCGGCCCCCUGGACAAAGACUGACGCUCAGGUGCGAAAGCGUGGGGAGCAAACAGGAUUAGAUACCCCCUGUAGUCCCUGUCUCUUAUU
RNAcentral lists this ribosomal RNA (303 nucleotides) under uncultured bacterium. RNAcentral describes it as "partial 16S ribosomal RNA". It matches the Rfam family "Bacterial small subunit ribosomal RNA", at positions 507 to 808 of the family's 1533-position model. The record is from RNAcentral.